AUGGCAGGGAAACAAGAGUGGAUGGAAAAGGAGAUGAAGCUGUCAGAGAAAGAGGAGAAUUUGAAAUGGGCUGAAGAAGAAAUUGAGAACUAUGUGAGAAGACUGCAAGAAAUGCAGGCUCAGCAGCAGCGAGAAAAGGAGACCUUCAGACAGGAGAUUGCUGUUCAUAAACAAAAGGCUCAUGAUAUUGAGCUCAGGGCUCAAGCUCUGGAGCGGGAGUUGAUGGUGCAGAAGAGGGAGACUGCCCACUUGCAACACAGAUUGGAAAUAAUGCAGGCAGAGGAAUCCAGGAGGCAGAAGCCAGUGUCAGGGGGACCUGGCUGGGAGAACCCUCCACGGAGAGAUUCCAGAAGUUGUGCAGGUCACAUGAAGAACCAAGGCUCAUCCCCUGCUGAGGACACCAGGAAGGAACAGGUAAUUGCUGUGGUCGUUUUCCUUGUAAUGAUUUCCUGAAACCUGAUCAUUGCAUAUACAGCACUCUCUCUUCCAUUAUUUUCUGACUGUGUGUGCUGUGAUACCUUUUCUGUGUCUGUAACUUUUCAAAGCAGCCAAGCCUUCCCCCACGAGCCUGUGGGCCUCUCCUUUUCCAGCUCAGCAUCUGUGCUGGUGCUUUACAGGCCGAAGCCUGAAGGUUUGCUUGUCAGUUCCUGGAAAUCACUGGCAGAGAAGAUGGCUGUGACCUUCAGCCUCAUGGCAUAGUGACUCCCCCCAAGCUUCUACAACCUGGGAGGUGGCCAGGCCACAUUUCAUUGUCGGAAUAAAAUACCUCCUUUCCUGUUUUGAUUUAGGUUG
RNAcentral lists this long non-coding RNA (792 nucleotides) under Oryctolagus cuniculus (rabbit). RNAcentral describes it as "lncRNA (ENSOCUG00000030579.1)". The record is from RNAcentral. Lineage: Eukaryota; Metazoa; Chordata; Mammalia; Lagomorpha; Leporidae.